UGCUCAGGAUGAACGCUGGCGGCGUGCUUAACACAUGCAAGUCGAACGAACCUUCGGGUUAGUGGCGGACGGGUGAGUAACGCGUGAGAAUCUGCCCUCAGGAGGGGGACAACAGCUGGAAACGGCUGCUAAUACCCCAUAUGCCGCGAGGUGAAAUGAAUUUCGCCUGAGGAUGAGCUCGCGUCUGAUUAGCUAGUUGGUGUAGGUAAUGGCUCACCAAGGCAUCGAUCAGUAGCUGGUCUGAGAGGAUGAUCAGCCACACUGGGACUGAGACACGGCCCAGACUCCUACGGGAGGCAGCAGUGGGGAAUUUUCCGCAAUGGGCGAAAGCCUGACGGAGCAACGCCGCGUGAGGGAUGAAGGCCUCUGGGCUGUAAACCUCUUUUAUCAAGGAAGAAGAUCUGACGGUACUUGAUGAAUAAGCCACGGCUAAUUCCGUG
This 440-nucleotide ribosomal RNA is filed under the name uncultured bacterium. RNAcentral describes it as "bacterial SSU rRNA". It matches the Rfam family "Bacterial small subunit ribosomal RNA", at positions 21 to 507 of the family's 1533-position model. The record is from RNAcentral.